AAAGAGAAUUAGAAGAAUUAGAGAAAAAUAAAUAAAUAAAUAAAAUGAGGAUCAAGAGAGCAAGAUAUUCUAUACAAAAUUUUAUAGUAGGACUAACCAAAUUAAAGUCAUUACAAAAUAAAAGUGUUUUUAUUGCUUUCUUAUUUACUGAGGAUGAGAUGGUGUUAAGGUACAUUUCAAACUCUUUAAAAAAAAACUAUAAAAAUUGGUUUGUUGUUGGAGAAUUUACAUUUAUGGAUAUAGAAUUUCCCAAUAAAAUAAAUUAAAUUGGUAACAAAGCAGGCUUUUUUAUCGGGAUCAGAGUCAAAGUAUCCAAAAAUAAUGUCUUUAAAGGUUACUGAUAUAUCUUGCUGGAUAUUAUCUUUAAUAAACUUGUCAAUAGGCUACUUUCCCAUAGUUGUUUAGUAUAGAAACAUGACCAAAAUAAAUGAUAAACAGUUUCUGUGUGAACUUGGCAAAAUGAGCAUCUUGUGUCAAUAUUACUCUUAUAUUUAAUCAUGAAAUAUUUAGCUGGGUAAAAUGUAUUUAUUAUUUUGAAGGAUACUUCUUUAACUUUAUUUGUUAAAAAAAUAUUUUUGUGGUAAGGACCGAAUCUUUUCCAAAUUUACAUUUUUAAAUAAUCUACUCCAGUAUGAAAUUACAGGAGAAACAGAAACUAUAUCUAAGAAAGAGGGAUCUAACUUUAUUAUUUCUAUCUUUUUUUCCUGAAAAACAAAUAAAUUCAGAAUUCUACCUGGCUUCCCUUGUUUAAUCCACAGCAACAGCAACACCAAUCAACGAUUGGUUGAUUCAACGAAGACUUAUCAACGAUUGGUCGGCUACUAAGCUGCAUACCACUUAAUUAACCACACCCGUUUCUCACAGGAAAGGUGGCGGGUUUUCUACCUGCUGCUGAUUGUUGUUAACAAUCUUGAUUGAUUUCUUGUUCAUUCAGAGAAGAUGGAGGAGAUCGUGGAUGACAGACGAAGCGCAAACACAGACAGGGAACCGGCGAGUAGAGUAACACAGGAGACAGGAGACAUGGAGGACCAGGAAGACAGGAGCAUUGCAGUUUUUCGUGUGAGAGUCCUGCCCUUCUGACCUUUGGAGGCUCAUACUGUUCAAUAAGGGUAUGAAUCCACAUUCUUGCCUUGACACUGUUGACUGGACCUAAUGGUGUGUUGUCAAUGAUAGCACAAGCAUUCACUACAGUGAAGACACCGCAGUCAUACCCAUUUCCUUGUUGUGGAGUAUUCACCACAUCUGAAGUUUUCCAGUCAGAAGCCUGAAAGGUUUCUGUUGCUGAAGUGUACAUGCAAGCUACUACUUUCAUUAGUUUUGGAGCAGCAUGCUUCAAAGUUUUAAGACUGUGGAUUGAAUUGAACACUGAGAUUUCUCGCUCUCUGAAAUUUACAGUGGCAAGAACCCAGUGAUAACCACAGCCAGUAAUGUCAGUGUUGAAGGGUAUUAUGAUUAGAUCAUAAUUUAGAGCCUUUUUUGCAGCACAAAACUGCAAAAUUGGAGUAAAGUCUUCUAGUGCAGCUAGCUGGUAAAGGUAUGUGGGUACACAUAGAAUUGAGUCUGACUUUUUUUGUUGGUGAAUGAAGACAUUAAUUGCCUGCUCAAUUGUUUCCCCUUCAAGCCAGGUCAUUGGAGAUAGACAGCGGCUUUUGGGAGAGACCUUUGCCCAGUCAUGAAUGUCAUUGAUGCCCAUCCAAGGAGCAAAGGAAUCCCCUGCACUGUUUGGUGUAGAUACUCUGGAAAGAUGUGGUUCUAGAGGCAGACUGUCACCAUUUGAAAGCCAAAACUGCAUUCAAAGAAAUUGAUGGCAUGCUGUCCACCAAAGAGGCGGAUUCAUAUGAGCACCCAAACUGGCAA
Pimephales promelas (fathead minnow) is the source of this 1857-nucleotide non-coding RNA. The record is from RefSeq and is a predicted model, not a curated record. Lineage: Eukaryota; Metazoa; Chordata; Actinopteri; Cypriniformes; Leuciscidae.